GGCCGGUUAGCUCAGUUGGUUAGAGCGUGGUGCUAAUAACGCCAAGGUCGCGGGUUCGACCCCGCACGGGCCA
RNAcentral lists this transfer RNA (73 nucleotides) under Anguilla anguilla (European eel). It matches the Rfam family "tRNA". Rfam says of the family: Transfer RNA (tRNA) molecules are approximately 80 nucleotides in length. The record is from Rfam by way of RNAcentral. Lineage: Eukaryota; Metazoa; Chordata; Actinopteri; Anguilliformes; Anguillidae.